UACGUAGGGGGCAAGCGUUGUCCGGAUUUAUUGGGCGUAAAGAGCGUGUAGGCGGCCUGGCAGGUCAGCUGUGAAAACUCGAGGCUCAACCUCGAGACGUCGGUUGAAACCACCUGGCUAGAGUCCGGAAGAGGAGUGUGGAAUUCCCGGUGUAGCGGUGAAAUGCGCAGAUAUCGGGAAGAACACCCGUGGCGAAGGCGGCACUCUGGGACGGUACUGACGCUGAGACGCGAAAGCGUGGGGAGCGAACAGG
This 253-nucleotide ribosomal RNA is filed under the name uncultured bacterium. RNAcentral's name for it is "partial 16S ribosomal RNA". It matches the Rfam family "Bacterial small subunit ribosomal RNA", at positions 524 to 776 of the family's 1533-position model. The record is from RNAcentral.